GACGAACGCUGGCGGCGUGCUUAACACAUGCAAGUCGAACGGAAAGGCCCUGCUUUUGUUGGUUGCUCGAUUGGCGAACGGGUGAGUAACACGUGAGUAACCUGCCCUUGACUUUGGGAUAACUUCAGGAAACUGGGGCUAAUACCGGAUAUGAUCUCCUGCUGCAUGUUGUGGGUUGGAAAGUUUCGGCGGUUGUGGAUGUACUCGCGGCUUAUCAGCUUGUUGGUGGGGUAGUGGCUUACCAAGGCUUUGACGGGUAGCCGGCCUGAGAGGGUGACCGGCCACAUUGGGACUGAGAUACGGACCAGAAUCCUACGGGAGGCAGCAGUGGGGAAUAUUGCACAAUGGGCGGAAGCCUGAUGCAGAAACGCCGCGUGCGGGAUGACGGCCUUCGGGUUGUAAACCGAUUUCGAAUGUAACGAAGAGUGAGUGACGGUAAUGGGUAAAGAAGCACCGGCUAACUACGUG
Molecule: ribosomal RNA, 468 nt
Filed under: uncultured bacterium
Lineage: Bacteria
Description: partial 16S ribosomal RNA
Rfam family: Bacterial small subunit ribosomal RNA
Source: RNAcentral